Molecule: ribosomal RNA, 233 nt
Filed under: uncultured bacterium
Lineage: Bacteria
Description: partial 16S ribosomal RNA
Rfam family: Bacterial small subunit ribosomal RNA
Source: RNAcentral
CGGACGGGUGAGUAACACGUAGGUAACCUGCCCUAUAGUGGGGGAUACCCAGCCGAAAGGUUGGCUAAUACCGCAUGAGCUCGUUGGUUGAAAUACCUUCGAGGAAAGAUUUAUCGCUAUUGGAGGGGCCUGGGUCCGAUUAGCUAGUUGGUGAGGUAAUGGCUCACCAAGGCGACGAUCGGUAGCUGGUCUGAGAGGACGAUCAGCCACACUGGAACUGAGACACGGUCCAG